AGAGUUUGAUCCUGGCUCAGAACGAACGUUGGCGGCGUGGAUUAGGCAUGCAAGUCGAACGAAUCCCACCUGGGCAACUGGGUGGGGGAAGUGGCGAAAGGGGCAGUAAGGCGUGGGUAACCUACCCCGGGGACUGGGAUAGCCUUCCUAACGGAAGGGUAAUACCGGGCGAUCUGGCGAGGGGGCAUCUUCUUGCCAGGAAAUGAGUUUCGCCUCGGGAGGGGCUCACGUAGUAUUAGCUUGUUGGCGGGGUAACGGCCCACCAAGGCCAAGAUGCUUAGCGGGUGUGAGAGCACGACCCGCGCCACUGGCACUGAGACACUGGCCAGACUCCUACGGGAGGCUGCAGUCGAGGAUCUUCGGCAAUGGGCGCAAGCCUGACCGAGCGACGCCGCGUGUGCGAUGAAGGCCUUCGGGUUGUAAAGCACUGUCGAGGGGGAGAAAAGCCCGCAAGGGUCUGAUCGACCCCUGGAGGAAGCACGGGCUAAGUUCGUGCCAGCAGCCGCGGUAAGACGAACCGUGCGAACGUUGUUCGGAUUCACUGGGCUUAAAGGGCGCGUAGGCGGGCGGUCAAGUCGGGGGUGAAAUCUUUCAGCUCAACUGGAAAAGUGCCUCCGAUACUGAUCGUCUAGAGCGAGGUAGGGGCAUGUGGAACUUCCGGUGGAGCGGUGAAAUGCGUAGAUAUCGGAAGGAACGCCGGUGGCGAAAGCGACGUGCUGGACCUCUUCUGACGCUGAGGCGCGAAAGCUAGGGGAGCAAACGGGAUUAGAUACCCCUGUAGUCC
RNAcentral lists this ribosomal RNA (784 nucleotides) under uncultured bacterium. RNAcentral's name for it is "bacterial SSU rRNA". It matches the Rfam family "Bacterial small subunit ribosomal RNA", at positions 8 to 796 of the family's 1533-position model. The record is from RNAcentral.